AGUGAACGCUGGCGGUAGGCCUAACACAUGCAAGUCGAACGGCAGCACAGUAAGCGCUUGCUCUUACGGGUGGCGAGUGGCGGAUGGGUGAGGAAUACAUCGGCAUCUACUUUUUCGUGGGGGAUAACGUAGGGAAACUUACGCUAAUACCGCAUAUGACCUACGGGUGAAAGCAGGGGAUCUUCGGACCUUGCGUGAUUGAAUGAGCUGAUGUCGGAUUAGCUAGUUGGCGGGGUAAAGGCCCACCAAGGCGACGAUCCGUAGCUGGUCUGAGAGGAUGAUCAGCCACACUGGAACUGAGACACGGUCCAGACUCCUACGGGAGGCAGCAGUAGGGAAUAUUGGGCAAUGGGCGCAAGCCUGAUCCAGCCAUACCGCGUGAGUGAAGAAGGCCUUCGGGUUGUAAAGCCCUUUUGUUGGGAAAGAAAAGCAGCAGGUUAAUACCCCGCUGUUCUGACGGUACCCAAAGAAUAAGCACCGGCUAACUUCGUG
This 492-nucleotide ribosomal RNA is filed under the name uncultured bacterium. Its description in RNAcentral is "partial 16S ribosomal RNA". It matches the Rfam family "Bacterial small subunit ribosomal RNA", at positions 29 to 507 of the family's 1533-position model. The record is from RNAcentral.